AGGACGAACGCUGGCGGCGUGCCUAACACAUGCAAGUCGAACGGACGAGGGGAGGCUUGCUCCCCAAGUUAGUGGCGGACGGGUGAGUAACACGUGAGCAACCUGCCCUUCGGAGGGGGACAACAGCGGGAAACUGCUGCUAAUACCGCAUAACGUAUCUGGGAGGCAUCUUCCGGAUACCAAAGAUUUUAUCGCCGAAGGAUGGGCUCGCGUCUGAUUAGAUAGUUGGCGGGGUAACGGCCCACCAAGUCGACGAUCAGUAGCCGGACUGAGAGGUUGAACGGCCACAUUGGGACUGAGAUACGGCCCAGACUCCUACGGGAGGCAGCAGUGGGGAAUAUUGGGCAAUGGGGGGCAACCCUGACCCAGCAACGCCGCGUGGAGGAAGAAGGCUUUCGGGUUGUAAACUCCUUUGACGAGGGACGAUAGUGACGGUACCUCGAAAACAAGCCACGGCUAACUACGUGCCAGCCGCGGC
This 478-nucleotide ribosomal RNA is filed under the name uncultured bacterium. RNAcentral describes it as "bacterial SSU rRNA". It matches the Rfam family "Bacterial small subunit ribosomal RNA", at positions 26 to 518 of the family's 1533-position model. The record is from RNAcentral.